Molecule: ribosomal RNA, 497 nt
Filed under: uncultured bacterium
Lineage: Bacteria
Description: partial 16S ribosomal RNA
Rfam family: Bacterial small subunit ribosomal RNA
Source: RNAcentral
GAUGAACGCUGGCGGCGUGCCUAAUACAUGCAAGUCGAGCGAACAGACGAGGAGCUUGCUCCUCUGACGUUAGCGGCGGACGGGUGAGUAACACGUGGAUAACCUACCUAUAAGACUGGGAUAACUUCGGGAAACCGGAGCUAAUACCGGAUAAUAUAUUGAACCGCAUGGUUCAAUAGUGAAAGACGGUUUUGCUGUCACUUAUAGAUGGAUCCGCGCCGCAUUAGCUAGUUGGUAAGGUAACGGCUUUCCAAGGCAACGAUGCGUAGCCGACCUGAGAGGGUGAUCGGCCACACUGGAACUGAGACACGGUCCAGACUCCUAAGGGAGGCAGCAGUAGGGAAUCUUCCGCAAUGGGCGAAAGCUUGACGGAGCAACGCCGCGUGAGUGAUGAAGGUCUUCGGAUCGUAAAACUCUGUUAUUAGGGAAGAACAAAUGUGUAAGUAACUAUGCACGUCUUGACGGUACCUAAUCAGAAAGCCACGGCUAACUACGUG